CUGAUCUAUUUCAGACUCCAUUGGGCAACACAGACAACACGUCUGGGCUGUACUACAAUGUCUCAUUGACCACCAACUUUAUGCCAAGACUGAAAAAUGCGCAUUCCAUCACCUCUCUACAUCUUUUCUGGGUUACAUCAUCAGUCCAGAAGGGGUUGCCAUUGAUGAUCAGAAGAGGCGUGCAGUGUUAAACUGGCCAAGACUGUAAAGAAGCUACAACGCUUUCUAGGCUUUGCAACAUCUACCGACGUUUUAUAAAGUACUUCAGUAGUAUAGCAGCACCUUUAACGUCCCUAGUCCGAAAAGCCUGCAACAGACUAAACUGGAACCUGGACGUGGAUCGGGCGUUCGAAGAUCUAAAAUCACUUUUCACUUUUGCCCCUGUGCUUCGUCAUCCAGAUCCUGAUCCUGUCUAUGAACCCGGCCAACUGAUAUGGCUUUCCACCAGAGACCUCAGACUUCGACUCCCUUGCAAGAAACUAAGUGCCAGAUCUGGGGUGGCUGUGGAUUUCGGUCGGACGGAGCCCCCUCCUAUCAUCGUAGAAGGCGAGGAUGCUUACCAGGUCCGCUAGUUGCUGAACUCCAGACUUCAAGGCUCCACCAUUCAAUACCUUGUGGACUGGGAGGUGUACGGCCCGGAGGAAAGAUCCUGGGAGGAUGCCAAUAACAUCUUAGACCCAAAUCGCAUCGCUGACUUUCAAAACUCAUCUGGAAAAGCCAGCCCCUCGAGCUCGAGGUCGUCCCCGAAAGAACCCCGCCUCGCUGAUUUUCCCUCACCUGUUCCGCAUCAGUGGGGCUAUUUAACCUGGGACUCUAACACACGAUCCUUGCAAAGUCUUGUUUGCCCCGUGCUGCAUUUCUAAGCGCUUGUUCCUAGUUUACUCGUGUUUGAAUUCCCUGGUGGGUUUUUUUUGGACUGUCUUACCGUUUAUGAUUGUUAUCUGCCUGCCCCGACCUUGGACUGCCUUAUCGUUUAUGAUUGUUAUUUGCCUGCCCCGAUCUUGGACUGGAUUAACGUGUAUGAGUGUUACCUGCCUGCCCUGAUUCUGGACUGUAAUACUUUGUGUGAGUUAUUACUGCAUACCACUGCCUUUCUUCUGUGUCUUGUGUAUAUAUCACAAUAAAGAUUUGCACAUGGGCCCUAA
Misgurnus anguillicaudatus (oriental weatherfish) is the source of this 1145-nucleotide long non-coding RNA. RefSeq lists it as uncharacterized. Lineage: Eukaryota; Metazoa; Chordata; Actinopteri; Cypriniformes; Cobitidae. The record is from RefSeq and is a predicted model, not a curated record.